Molecule: long non-coding RNA, 1645 nt
Filed under: Medicago truncatula (barrel medic)
Lineage: Eukaryota; Viridiplantae; Streptophyta; Magnoliopsida; Fabales; Fabaceae
Description: lncRNA gene4876
Source: RNAcentral
GGGCACCAUAGAAGAUGGUAACUGCUAAAGCAUAACAGGAGUUUAACUGGAAAGAAAAGCACAAGUGAGGCCAUCACUUACAAGUUGAUUAAUUGCAUCCCUAAACUUGUAAUAGUCAUCAACUUUAUUAUACACUUGAUAAGAAAUUCUUGCAUAUCCACUUACACAUCCAACUUCUCCCCCAUCUCUAAAAUAAAUAGGGACUUCAACCCCAAAAAAUUCCCUUAAAUGUGUCCUAAGAUUCAUAGCAUCACAUUCAUUCAUAAUCCCCAAAGAAGGAGGCAAACCAACCAUAACCAUACUUGCACUCAUAUGAUGUGGUGUCCCAAGAUGUGUCCCCCAAGCUUCCACCAACAUCUCACCCAUCUCAACAACACAAUCAUGGUUCCUCUCUUUGAUCCCUUCAAUUCCACCUUCAAACCUAUUCACAAAUUCCAUAACCGUUGGAACCACUAAUUGAGCGCUAUAAUCUCUAUUCCCAAUCCAUGAACUUUCUAUAGCUAAUCCAUUCCCAUACUCAUGAGACACAACAGGGUGAUGCAAAUCAACCGAAUUAACCGAUUUACGCGUGUAGAUAAAUGCAACCGAAGGUGGACAAAAAAACCACUUAUGCAAAUUACUUGUGUAAAAAUCAGCUCCAAUCUCUUGCAUAUCAACGCGCGGGGUGCACCCUACCGCAUGAGCUGCAUCAACGAAAACUUGAUCAACACCUUCCUCGCGACAAAUCUUAACUAACUCUUUCACCGGAAUCACCAUGCUUGGCAUGGAAGUCACAUGAUCAAUAACCGCUAAUCUAACUUUAUUACUACUACCUUCGCUCUUUGUUUUUUCCAGCACAUGACGGAACUCUCUGAUGAUAUCAUCUUCAGAGGUGACAGGGAAGGUAAGUGGAACCUCAAUGACUCUUCCACCGGCGCGUGUGACGUAUGCUUCAAUGGCUUUCUUGACAGAGCCGUAGGCAUAGUGAAGCAUGACAACUGAAUCUCCUUUAUUGAAUUUUCCUUCUUGGAAAGCCCACGAUGCUUGCUGGAGAACAAUUGCGGUGGCAGUGGAGGCGUUAUCAACGAUGGAGAUUUCAUUAACAUGUUGAGCGUUGACGAGAUCUUUGAUGAUGGUUCGGGAAUGGAGGAUUCCUUUUUGGAGGUGGUUGAAGUAAAAGUGGUCAGGUUGACGGAGGGAUUUGAGCUGCCAUUGACGUUGAGCUGCGAGGACAGAGGACGGACAGCAACCGAAAGCUCCGUUGUUGAGGCGUGCUACAGUGGGGUCGUGGUGGGAGAAUUCUGAUUGUAUUUCGGUGUCGGUGAUUGCAGAGAAAGAAAGCUUGGGUUUCUUUGAAACUUCACCAUUUGUGUGAUUAUUAUUUUGAUCAUGGAAGGCCAUUGGAGAAUGAAAGUAAUAAUGAGAAUCAAAGUCAGAGUUAAGAAUAAAAAUUGAUGAAGACGGAAGAACCAACCAAAAAUCUUGUAGUGACCAUUUUUUAUUCUUUAUAUUAUUUUUUAGUUAAGAAUGCUUGUUUUCUUAUUCGUGUCGAAUAGUGCAUCACAGCUAUGUUGCUAUCCAUUUGCAAUGUUUUAUUCUUUCCUCGUAUUAGAUGUCGUGUACCACUAACUAUAAUUAUUGGUUUUCUUUUACUGCUGCAUUCAGC